This 410-nucleotide ribosomal RNA is filed under the name uncultured microorganism. RNAcentral's name for it is "bacterial SSU rRNA". It matches the Rfam family "Bacterial small subunit ribosomal RNA", at positions 509 to 917 of the family's 1533-position model. The record is from RNAcentral.
CAGCCGCCGCGGUAAUUCGGAGGGCGCGAGCGUUGUCCGGAUUCACUGGGCGUAAAGCGGGUGUAGGCGGCCUGUUAAGUCAGGGGUGAAAGACCGGGGCUCAACCCCGGGGGUGCCUCUGAAACUGGCGGGCUUGAGUGCUCUAGAGGGCAGUGGAAUUCCCGGUGUAGCAGUGAAAUGCGUAGAGAUCGGGAGGAACACCAGUGGCGAAGGCGGCUGCCUGGGGAGUCACUGACGCUGAGGCGCGAAAGCUAGGGGAGCAAACAGGAUUAGAUACCCUGGUAGUCCUAGCCGUAAACGAUGAGCGCUAUGUGUGAGGGGUAUCGACCCCCCUCGUGCAGUAGCUAACGCAUUAAGCGCUCCGCCUGGGGAGUACGGCCGCAAGGUUGAAACUUAAAGGAAUUGGCGGG